Molecule: ribosomal RNA, 696 nt
Filed under: uncultured bacterium
Lineage: Bacteria
Description: bacterial SSU rRNA
Rfam family: Bacterial small subunit ribosomal RNA
Source: RNAcentral
UAACGCGUGAGGAACAUGCCUCAAAGAGGGGGACAACAGUUGGAAACGACUGCUAAUACCGCAUAGGCCCACGGCUCGGCAUCGAGCAGAGGGAAAAGGAGCAAUCCGCUUUGAGAUGGCCUCGCGUCCGAUUAGCUAGUUGGUGAGGUAACGGCCCACCAAGGUGACGAUCGGUAGCCGGACUGAGAGGUUGAACGGCCACAUUGGGACUGAGACACGGCCCAGACUCCUACGGGAGGCAGCAGUGGGGAAUAUUGCACAAUGGGGGAAACCCUGAUGCAGCGACGCCGCGUGGAGGAAGAAGGUCUUCGGAUUGUAAACUCCUGUUGUUGGGGAAGAUAAUGACGGUACCCAACAAGGAAGUGACGGCUAACUACGUGCCAGCAGCCGCGGUAAAACGUAGGUCACAAGCGUUGUCCGGAAUUACUGGGUGUAAAGGGAGCGCAGGCGGGAAGACAAGUUGGAAGUGAAAUCUAUGGGCUCAACCCAUAAACUGCUUUCAAAACUGUUUUUCUUGAGUAGUGCAGAGGUAGGCGGAAUUCCCGGUGUAGCGGUGGAAUGCGUAGAUAUCGGGAGGAACACCAGUGGCGAAGGCGGCCUACUGGGCACCAACUGACGCUGAGGCUCGAAAGUGUGGGUAGCAAACAGGAUUAGAUACCCUGGUAGUCCACACCGUAAACGAUGAUUACUAGGUGU